GUCUUCGGACUUUGAGACCGGCGCACGGGUGCGUAACGCGUAUGCAAUCUACCUUUUACAGAGGGAUAGCCCAGAGAAAUUUGGAUUAAUACCUCAUAGUAUAAUGACCUGGCAUCAGGAUGUUAUUAAAGUCACAACGGUAAAAGAUGAGCAUGCGUCCCAUUAGCUAGUUGGUAAGGUAACGGCUUACCAAGGCUACGAUGGGUAGGGGUCCUGAGAGGGAGAUCCCCCACACUGGUACUGAGACACGGACCAGACUCCUACGGGAGGCAGCAGUGAGGAAUAUUGGACAAUGGGCGCAAGCCUGAUCCAGCCAUGCCGCGUGCAGGAUGACGGUCCUAUGGAUUGUAAACUGCUUUUAUACGAGAAGAAACACUCCAACGUGUUGGAGCUUGACGGUAUCGUAAGAAUAAGGAUCGGCUAACUCCGUGCCAGCAGCCGCGGUAAUACGGAGGAUCCAAGCGUUAUCCGGAAUCAUUGGGUUUAAAGGGUCCGUAGGCGGUUUGGUAAGUCAGUGGUGAAAGCCCAUCGCUCAACGGUGGAACGGCCAUUGAUACUGCCAGACUUGAAUUAUUAGGAAGUAACUAGAAUAUGUAGUGUAGCGGUGAAAUGCUUAGAGAUUACAUGGAAUACCAAUUGCGAAGGCAGGUUACUACUAAUGGAUUGACGCUGAUGGACGAAAGCGUGGGUAGCGAACAGGAUUAGAUACCCUGGUAGUCCACGCCGUAAACGAUGGAUACUAGCUGUUGGAAGCAAUUUCAGUGGCUAAACGAAAGUGAUAAGUAUCCCACCUGGGGGA
This 799-nucleotide ribosomal RNA is filed under the name Flavobacterium aquidurense. RNAcentral describes it as "bacterial SSU rRNA". It matches the Rfam family "Bacterial small subunit ribosomal RNA", at positions 76 to 880 of the family's 1533-position model. The record is from RNAcentral. Lineage: Bacteria; Pseudomonadati; Bacteroidota; Flavobacteriia; Flavobacteriales; Flavobacteriaceae.